This is a small nucleolar RNA of Hemibagrus wyckioides, 77 nucleotides long. RefSeq annotates it as small nucleolar RNA SNORD83. The transcript has a single exon. The record is from RefSeq and is a predicted model, not a curated record. NCBI's taxonomy places the organism in Eukaryota, Metazoa, Chordata, Actinopteri, Siluriformes, Bagridae.
GCCACAUGAUGCUACUCAGACAGCAUUAGCACUCAGUGCGAGGAUGACCUGGUAUCUAUCACCCGAGACUGAUGGCU